Molecule: ribosomal RNA, 343 nt
Filed under: uncultured Bacillota bacterium
Lineage: Bacteria; Bacillati; Bacillota
Description: bacterial SSU rRNA
Rfam family: Bacterial small subunit ribosomal RNA
Source: RNAcentral
GACGAACGCUGGCGGCGUGCCUAACACAUGCAAGUCGAGCGAAGUGUUUAGGACUGAUCCCUUCGGGGUGAAGACCUAAACAUCUUAGCGGCGGACGGGUGAGUAACGCGUGAGAAACCUGCCUUUCACAAAGGAAUAGCCUCGGGAAACUGGGAUUAAUACCUUAUGAUACUUUUAGUUCACAUGAACCUAAAGUUAAACGUAAAGUGGUGAAAGAUGGUCUCACGUCCCAUUAGUUAGUUGGUGAGGUAAUGGCUCACCAAGACAGCGAUGGGUAGCCGGCCUGAGAGGGUGAUCGGCCACACUGGAACUGAGACACGGUCCAGACUCCUACGGGAGGCUG